GACGAACGCUGGCGGCGUGCUUAGCACAUGCAAGUCGAACGGAAAGGCCCUGCUUUUGUGGGGUGCUCGAGUGGCGAACGGGUGAGUAACACGUGAGUAACCUGCCCUUGACUUUGGGAUAACUUCAGGAAACUGGGGCUAAUACCGGAUAGGAGCUCCUGCUGCAUGGUGGGGGUUGGAAAGUUUCGGCGGUUGGGGAUGGACUCGCGGCUUAUCAGCUUGUUGGUGGGGUAGUGGCUUACCAAGGCUUUGACGGGUAGCCGGCCUGAGAGGGUGACCGGCCACAUUGGGACUGAGAUACGGCCCAGACUCCUACGGGAGGCAGCAGUGGGGAAUAUUGCACAAUGGGCGGAAGCCUGAUGCAGCAACGCCGCGUGCGGGAUGACGGCCUUCGGGUUGUAAUCCGCUUUCGCCUGUGACGAAGCGUGAGUGACGGUAAUGGGUAAAGAAGCACCGGCUAACUACGUG
Molecule: ribosomal RNA, 468 nt
Filed under: uncultured bacterium
Lineage: Bacteria
Description: partial 16S ribosomal RNA
Rfam family: Bacterial small subunit ribosomal RNA
Source: RNAcentral